AGUGGAUGUGUGUUCGUGCCAGCUGUGUGAGCGGUUGUGGCCAUACAUCCGGGGACGCUGGGGUCGAUCGGGGAUAUGCGAGUAGGCCUCUCUUCAAAUGUUUUGUCUUCAUUUCUUAAUAUCAUCUUUCAGACAGAAAGCUAUCAUCCUUGUACUCUUCUGUGGCCACCUUGCUCCUUCACCAGACCCACCUGGAGACCCGACAGUCAGCUGCCUCAGGUAUGUUUCUGAAGGCGACUCGGUGACAUGCGAAUGUCAGGCCCGCUUCCACGAUGACAGGCCCCCAGACUUUUCUCUGACAUGGCCUGGACACUCGGACACCACCUCUCUGUCACUGACCAAUGUCAUGCGGCGAGAUAACGGAUCUGUGUUCACCUGCUUGAUGAUCUGGAACGAACAUCGCAGAACUGCCAGCUACACACUGCAAGUUGCUUAUGGACCAGACGACAGCCAUACCAUCAUCCGGGGUCCAAAGACGUUUAUCACAGACGGCACAAAGUCUCUCAUCCUGACCUGUAUGGCGACUGAGGUGAACCCUCCCCCAACGUAUAUCUGGGAUGCAGCCUUGUGCAAGGAAGACAGGAAAGCUGGCACCUGCACUUUAACACCCGAUCCUCAGUUUGAUGACAAUCAGCAAAUUACAUGCACCGCCAAAUGUGUAGAAGGUGCCAGCAGAACAGGUGUCGCGGUGUUUUUUCUUAAUCUUACAUAUCCACCAAAAGAGCCACCAGUGAUCACAGGUUAUAAACAAGGUGAUGUCAUCUCACACGACAGUCAGCUACGAUGCAGUGUUGCCGGAGGAAAACCGCAAGUGUCAAAGGUUAUCCUCACCUGCGAGAGUCUGGUAAUGAAGUACUCGAACAUUGUGAAUGGCACCGUGUCAGCCUCUUUCAUCGUCGAUAAGGCGAACAAAGUCAUGAACAACAGCAUUCUGUGCACGUGUCGGGCGGUGUGGGAACCUGAGGAAGAUCUGUACACACUGACAAGCCAGAUUCUUCUCCAGACAGAAGACGGUGACAAUGUUCGCAGUCGUGAAUAUGUCGGGUGGAUUGGAGGACUAAUCAUUGGUGCAGUUCUGGGCGUUUCUAUCUCCUUCUUUAUAUCUUACAUGAUAAGAAGAGUUCGUUUAAAAGCUAGAGCACAAAAUGAUUUUACACCGGACAACUCAGCGACAUCAAUAACAUCUACAGUUCCGCUGAUGGGAUGAAGUGUAUUCACAUGGUCACAUGUUCACUGCGCUUAAACUAUGACGAGCUAACAUUUGCUGGGUUCAAGAUGUGGGGAUCAUAGUUGUUGUACUUGUUGCUGACUACCAUAUCGUAUGGUUCAACCACUCCCUAUGCUCUUUUCCCGUGUUUAGAGGCUAAAAGCCCAGUUUACGAGCGAACUAAUAUGCCACAGGGAGAGUAUCCAGAAAACAAUUUCAAUCUGGAAGAUGAUAUUAAGAAAUAAAACACAAUGUAAGAAGAAAGUUUUCCAGAACCCAAGAAGGAAAAUAUCAUUAUAAAAAGAAUUCAGUUCCUUAAAAUGCAAUGAAUAUUGUUUAAUGACAAAGACAAUCGUUUUACACAAAAAAAUCCUCUCGUUUACAAGUUUACAACUACACUAAGCUUUAUAUCACCAAAAUACAGAAUGUCUAUAAUGAGAAAAGUUAAAAAAAAUUAACAAAGUAGUUUUGCUUUGAGAAAUCAACUUUAUUAAAACAAUAAAAGGAUUUUUUCUAAAUGUAUGAGAUUCUUUGCACCUCUGUCACACCUUUCGCACCUUUUUUUCAACUCUCUGGAUAAUGCACCUGAACUGUUUACUGGGACGAGUUUUAGACAAGACUAAAACAUCGACUGCAUUGUUACUUGUGGAACGACGAUAAAUAUGUCCGUUUGAAUUUGGAUCCUGUUAUUUUAGUGACGAUUGAGGGUGUUGUAUGAACCCCAUCGGAGGGUGUCGUAUAAUUUCCCUUCAUCUUUGCAGGAGUCAGGUUUCUAUAAAAGCAAAAGUUAAUCAUGCUUCGAUGAUUAUUUCAUCUUUCUCUUCCUUUAUAUAUUCAUACAUAUAGAUAUCUCAUUUAUGUUAAAAUAAUUAUCUUUAUUCUCAAGUUUCUUGUAUCGAUAUAAACAUGUAAAACACUGUAUUAUAUUUUAAGAAAAUCAUGAAAUGUUAAUAUAAAAUAAAAAAAAUGGAGCGCAUGACUCACAUUGAGUGAUGAAAAGCUGAUGGAGGCUUGAUUGAGGACAAGUUUAUCAAACCUCUCCUGUGUGUCCCGAGCAGGUGUUCUUGAGGAUGAACAGGUGUUUGUCGGAGCUGUUGACAUACAAUUUUCUCUGUUUAGAAGAUAAUUUUAACCCUUCUCCAAAAAAGAUAUGUUUUAGCUACAUUUGCUAGCAUGUACAGUUUAAUAUGUGAGAGGUCUUCUUCAUACUUUCAAACAUUUUGUAGCCAUAACAGACGAGUUAUUACUCACAGAGUGUAUACAUCUUUACCUAUGGCUGCUGUGAUGUUAUUUAGAUGAUUUCUCAUCGUCGAUUCUCCGUCGAUGUGAAUGUCGAUUUCUGUGUACGGACCAUCAUCGGAGUCUGUCAACAGCUGAGUUGUCUUCACUGGACUGAUUCCUAACCUCGGUGUAAAGAACCCUUCCGUUCUUUUUUCAGAGUCCAAACCCGUAGAACAGGAAUGAAAAAUCUUUUGGGAUUUUGAUAUUUUACAUGCAAUAUUUUCACAUGAAAGUGCUUUACUUUUUGAAACACUGAGCACAUGUGAAUUAUGUUCAACGAUAAUGCCAAUGCUACAUCCCUGGAUUGCCAGUUCAUCAACUUCUUCAUAAUCUGGAGACGAUGUUUGAUGAGUUUGCCCAUUGCCGUUACCCUGCGGGGUGGUUUCAGGGAUCUUUUUGGCCAGAUCUAAUCAUUGGUGCAGUUCUGGGCGUUUCUAUCUCCUUCUUUAUAUUUUACAUGAAAGGAAGAAUUCGUUUAAAAGCUAGAGCACAAAAUGAUUUAACACCGGACAACUCAGCUACAUCAAUAACAUCUGCAGUUCCGCUGAUAGGAUGAGGUGUGUUCACAUGUUCACAUGUUCACUGCGCUUAAACUAUGACGAGCUAACAUUAGCUAGGUUCAAGAUAUGGUGAUCAUAGUUGUUGUACUAGUUGCUGACUACUUAUUUAUAUCGUAUGGUUCAACCAUUCCCUGUGCUCUUUUCCCGUGUUUAGAGGCUAAAAUCCCAGUUUACGAGCGAGCUAAUUCGCCACAGGGAGAGUAUUAAGAAAAAUAUUUCAAUCUGGAAGAUUAUAUUAAGAAAUAAAAUACAAUCUUCUCAGAAACUUUACUGUCGACUACGUGUACACUGACAGGUAUAUCAUGUACAGGAGGCGUUAAGAGCAACAGGAAGAUCAGGCGUUUGAGAUAUAUUGACAAAAGUCUCAACAUUAGCAUAAUGUAUCAUGUCUACUAAUAUAUCCUAAAAUCGUGCCAAAGACUGGAAGCAGGUAUGCAAGUGUAAAAUUAAAAAAAGGUAAUGUGAAAAUAUCUUGAAAAUGCACUAUAUCCUACUGCCUCAAAAUUGUAACCGUAUUCACAAGCCCUGCUUUAAAAAUUUCAGCAUAUUGUCAACAUAGAAAAUAGCCUGGUAGCAAUUUUUUAUGCAGAGAACUUUAUAGAAGGAACAAACAUCAGGUCCUUCCGGUACUUUCCGGCGGAUUCCAAGCACAGUAUAGGUCCCAACUUUCGAAUACAAACAUGCAUUUGAAGAUGCUAUAUAUUGCUUCAAAUCUUGACAGGGAUAAGUAUAAGAAAGAUUUUUUUUCUUUCAUUUUCGAACUAAAUAGUCCUAGCCUGAAUUACAUGACAGGUAAAUAUAUUGCAUGUGUGUAAUUUAGAGUACAAUAGAAAGUUGUAUUUCUAUUCAUUGCUAAUUCAUGUCUAUUCAACAUUUUUGCUACUCACUAUAUGCAUGCACGCACGUACACACGCACACAUACAACAGGAAGCGGCUAAUUAUAUCUAUAACAUAUAAUAAAACUGUAUAAUCAAUGCUUUUUCCCUGUGUUAGUCUCUACUUGCGCUCAUUUCAGUAUUAUGACUGUAUCUUUCUAUACAAAGGUAUAACUGUGUGGCUGCCAGACAAUAUGUGGUUAAGAGUCUUAGUCGUUUUUCUUUUUUUUUUUUUUUUUUUUUUUUUUUUUUGUUCUGCACAUACUUUAUGUAUUUGUUCAUAUUUCAUAUUCGUAUAGAACAAAAUGGAAAUGGUCAUAAACAUCAAUAUCCUAUAAAUGUUACGGAUGUUUUGUUACAAGGUGUUUUGAUUAUAAGACACCUCGUAUGGUAUAAAAUAACCUGAAUUGAUUAUGUAUUUGUGGGCACUGUGGUGAUGGGAUAACUCUGCAAGUUAAAGUGAUUUUUUAAUUUCUUUUUGUUCCAAUUAUGAAAGUUAAAACGUUUUUCUAUGUCUGAUUUCUAUUUCGUCUGUUUUUCUUUGAUAGUCUAUUUUGUUUCAAAUUCCUUCUUACUGUUAUUCUCUCUCUCUCUCUCGUUUACCUGAUACAUGUUUGUGCUUAUGAAUAAUUGUACUGACUGUUGGCUGUAAGCAUAUAUGUUAUAAAUGUGCAUGAUUGUGAUGAUUUGAUUCCUAUCUGUAUGUUUACCUUGUAUUAUGCCUGCACGAGUGGAAGUCUAGUGGCGAGCAACCUUAAUUAUUUGCAUUAUGCUAUGUGCAUUAUCAUGUUGUACCACUAUGAAAUUGGUCCAGGAACCCGGAUUAUUAAAAGUAUCGUAUCGUCU
This 4769-nucleotide unclassified non-coding RNA is filed under the name Pomacea canaliculata. Its description in RNAcentral is "uncharacterized LOC112568757, transcript variant X5". Lineage: Eukaryota; Metazoa; Mollusca; Gastropoda; Architaenioglossa; Ampullariidae. The record is from RNAcentral.